RNAcentral lists this long non-coding RNA (2316 nucleotides) under Homo sapiens (human). RNAcentral's name for it is "HSALNT0218041". The record is from RNAcentral. Lineage: Eukaryota; Metazoa; Chordata; Mammalia; Primates; Hominidae.
UCUUUUGUCUGUGUUCUUCCAACCCCAAAAGAAUACCAGGGAUGCCAGCACAGCAUGAGCAUAGAGACUGGAAGCUUUUGUCUUCUCUUUGCUGAUUGGCGAGAUGGGCUUACUGUGGACUCUGUGCUGGCAUUUAGGAAUCAGGAUCUAGGAAUUAAGGGAAAGGGAGAGUCAGAUGACUCAGCCGUCAGCAAGUCAGCAAGUGCCUUCAAGGAAGGUGUUUGUUUUGGAAAUGGUGACUUUGUUGAUUUGUAGCACAGGGUCUCUAGGUAGAAAGAUUGGCGAGAAAGCGUUCCUUUCCCUAUCUUAUUGCAGGUCCUUUAUGCGUGACUCUGUACUUCUGUGAGGUGUUUUGCUCUGCCAUUUGGAAGCGUUGUUUGACCUUGAGCAGGCACCAGUGCUCCCUGUGGUGGCGAUCUAGGGGCACUUGGAAGCACAGGGAUUCUGUGGCCACCACAGCCAGGCGGGUGAGGCCGCAGAGCCUGUGCCUGUGGGCUAGGCAGCAACAGUGGUUCUUUGUGUGGCCGCCAGCAGGCCCCUCCCUGUCUCUAUUCCAGCCCUGCAUUUGAGUUGAAUGGAGGGGACUGUGCCUCUGGGAGCUUUUGAUUUUUUCAGUGGCCCAUUAAGUGAAUCAGGGUGAUGUAGGGGUGGAAAAAAACGACCACUGGUUAGGAAAUAUGACAUCUUGUUUUUAUUGCCGUAAACUGAAAAAGUGCCUUGUUACCUCACGUAUCAGGGAAAGAGCCAGUAAAGCUAUUUCCUCUCAUGGAGGAGGGUGUGGGGCUUCCUUACCACUCGGUGUUUACUGAGGCUGAAAUAGCAAGAGAAAGCAUCUGGUAGCCUAGAACCAAAUACAGAAGGAGAAAGCUUGUGUUUCUGUCGCCUUUCUUUCAAUGAAAUAAAAGUUCAAGAGAGUACAGAUUUCCCCUCUGUUCACAGUUCUGCUAGGGGGUAGACAAGCCACUGAGCUUAUUUUUGAGAUUUGAGCUAAGCCUAGUUCCUCCUAACCUCUGUUUCCAGAGGUCUUACUGGCCAUAGCUCUUGUUAUUUCAUUAGUGUUCUUUGAUCUUUACCUCAGUCUCCAGGGAAGGGAUCGCCUAGCUGAGUGCUAAUUCCUGCAAAGUGCUCUGCAGCCAGCCCCGGCCUGGCCAGGGCAGAGGUGGAGCCAGCUGGGCCCUCCCUCUCCGAGGCCAGGCUGCCGCUGCCCGGCACCGUCUUCUGCCAGCGAACAGGGUGCCCUUCAGAGUCUCAUUCUCCCAUCUUCAUUUCCUUCAGCCACUCAACUCUGGAUGGCCUGAGCCUUCACUGAUUUUCAAUUUCUUGGUUUUUAUUUUUUCUUUCACUUUUUAUGUUUCUAUUGUGGUAAAAUAAAUUUAACAUCCCUAAAAUACAGCAUUUUAGCCAUUUUUAGGUGUACAGUUCAGUGGCAUUCAUGGUACUCAUAGUGUUGUGUGACCAUUGCCUCUCCACUUACCACUCCAAACAGAAACACUGCAGCCAUUAGGCAACUACGCCCCGCUUUCCCUUCCCCAAGCCCUGGCGACGACGUCUCAUCUACUUUUUGUGUCUGUAAAUGUGCCUGUUCAUUUCAUUCAUUUCAUUGAAGUGGAAUCCUACGAUAUUUGUGGUUUUAUGUCUGGUGUAUUUUGCUCAGCAUCAUGUUUCUGAGCUUCACCCGCAUCGUGGCACAUGUCAGGACUCCGUUCCUUCUCCAGGCUGAACACACUUCCACUGUAGCAUCUGAUACCACAUUUUUCUAGCCACUCAUUGGUUGAUGGACACUGGGUUCCUUCCACCUUUUCGGCCAUUUUGAAGAAUGCUGCAUGAACCUCUGUUUCAGUCCCUGGUUUCAAUUCUUUUGGGAAUACCUGAGAGUGGAACUGCUGGGUCCUGUGGUGAUUCUGUGUUGAGCUUUUUGAGGAGUGGCUGAACUGUUUUUCACAGUGUUUACACCAGUGUCACAUUCCCACCAGCAAUGCGUGAGGUUUCUGGUUUCUCUACCUCCUUGUCAAUGCUUAUUUUCCAUGUUUCUGAUUAUAGCCAUCCUAGUGUGAAGUGGUAUCUCCUUGUGGCUUUCUGUGUUUGUUUAUUUGUCUGACUCUGAAUCGCCUUGGGAAAUACUUGUAAUUCCUCCAAACCUUUGGCUCCUGUCCCUGUAAAUAAGGAAUCUGAAGCAGCUCCAUGGUUCUUGACUGCAUAUGAGAUUGACCUGGCGCUUUGAUGUGGCCCCCAUGCGUGGGCUCCUGCUCUGGAGGUUCUCAUUGUGUGGAUCCGGGGUGGGACACAUGUUUUCCUACAAAGCUGCCUAGGUGAUGU